This 446-nucleotide ribosomal RNA is filed under the name uncultured bacterium. Its description in RNAcentral is "partial 16S ribosomal RNA". It matches the Rfam family "Bacterial small subunit ribosomal RNA", at positions 338 to 795 of the family's 1533-position model. The record is from RNAcentral.
CCUACGGGUGGCAGCAGUCGAGAAUCAUUCACAAUGGGGGAAACCCUGAUGGUGCGACGCCGCGUGGGGGAAUGAAGUUCUUCGGAUUGUAAACCCCUGUCAUGUGGGAGCAAAUUGAAAAGAUAGUACCACAGUAGGAAGACACGGCUAACUCUGUACCAGCAGCCUCGGUAAUACAGAGGUCUCACGCGUUGUUCGGAAUCACUGGGCGUAAAGCGUGCGUAUGCUGUGUCGUAAGUCGGGUGUGAAAGGCGCGGGCUCAACCCGCGGACGGCACAUGAUACUGGGAGACUAGAGUAAUGGAGGGGGAAGCGGAAUUCUCGGUGUAGCAGUGAAAUGCGUAGAUAUCGAGAGGAACACUAGUGGCGAAGGCGGGUUCCUGGACAUUAACUGACGCUGAGGCACGAAGGCCAGGGGAGCGAAAGGGAUUAGAUACCCUAGUAGUC